AUGCAGGAGGGCCCCUGUGCUGUUCACUCUCUGUCCAUCCAUCCAUCCGUUCAUCCUUCCAUCCAUCUAUCCAUCAUCCAUCCAUCCAUCAUUUAUCUAUCCUUUUAUCAUCCAUCUAUUCACCCAUCUAUCCAUCGACCCAUCCAUUCAUCCUUCCAUCAUCUGUUUACCUGUUCAUCCUUCCAUCCAUCAUCCAUCCAUCCAUUCUUCCAUCAUCUUCCCAUACAUCUGUGGGUCCUUCCAUCCAUCCAUCCAAUCAUCCAUCCAUUCACCUGUUCGUCUUUCCACCCACGCAUCCAUCAUCCAUCCCUCCGUCCAUCAUCCAUCCAUCCUUUUAUCAUCCAUCCAUUCAUUCACCUUUUCGUCCAUCCAUCCAUCCUUCCAUCUAUCUUUCCAUCAUCCAUCCAACUGUUCAUUCUUCAUCCAUCCAUCCGUCAUUCAUCUGGUCACCUCUUCAUCCAUCCAUCCAGCUGUUCAUCCUUCUAUCCAUCCAACCAUCUGCCAUCCACCCAUCCAUUCAUUCAUCAUCCAUCCCUCCAUCCAUCCAUCCUUUUAUCAUCCAUCCAUUCACCUAUUCAUCCUUCUAUUCAUCCAUCCAUCACCCAUCCAUCCUUCAUCCAUUCUUUUAUCAUCCAUCCAUUCAGCCACCAUCCAUCCACCUGUUCAUCCUUCCAUCAUUCAUCCAUCCUCCCAUCAUCCAUCCACUCACCUCCUGCUCAUUCUUCCAUCCGUUCAUCCUUCCAUCUAUCCAUUGCCCAUCCAUUUAUCCAUUCAUCCACCUGUCCAUUCAUUUGCCUGUUCAUCCAUCCAUCUUUCCACCAACCAUCCAUUCACCUGUUCAUCCUUCCACCCAUCAUUCAUCCACUCACCUCCUGUUCAUCCUUCCAUCCAUCCAUCCGUCCAUCUCUCCAUCCACCCACUUAUCCAUCCAUCCUUCAUACAUCCUUUUAUCAUCCAUCCUCCAUCCAUUUAUCCAUUCAUCUAUCCAUCCAUCCAUUCACCUGUUCCUCCUUCCAUCCAUCAUUCAUUCAUCCAUCUUUCCAUUAUCCAUCCACUCAUCUCCUGUUCAUCCUUCCAUCCGUCCAUCAUCCAUCCUUUCACCCAUCCAUCCACUGA
Piliocolobus tephrosceles (Ugandan red Colobus) is the source of this 1116-nucleotide long non-coding RNA. The record is from Ensembl. NCBI's taxonomy places the organism in Eukaryota, Metazoa, Chordata, Mammalia, Primates, Cercopithecidae.